UACGUAGGCAGCAAGCGUUGUUCGGAGUUACUGGGCGUAAAGAGUGUGUAGGCGGUUCUCUAAGUUCCGUGUGAAAUCUCCCGGCUCAACUGGGAGGGUGCGCGGAAAACUGGAGGGCUAGAGGAUGGGAGAGGUAAGCGGAAUUCCUGGUGUAGCGGUGAAAUGCGUAGAUAUUGGGAGGAACACCAGUGGCGAAGGCGGCUCGCUGGACCGGAACUGACGCUGAGGCGCGAAAGCUAGGGGAGCAAACAGG
Molecule: ribosomal RNA, 253 nt
Filed under: uncultured bacterium
Lineage: Bacteria
Description: partial 16S ribosomal RNA
Rfam family: Bacterial small subunit ribosomal RNA
Source: RNAcentral